AGCUCCAAUAGCGUAUAUUAAAGUUGUUGCGGUUAAAAAGCUCGUAGUUGGAUUUCUGUCUGGGGGGACCGGUCCACUUUCUGAGUGAGUACAUGGUCGACUCUGGGCAUCCUCCUGGGGAUCGUACUACACUUGAUUGUGUGGUGCGGGAUCUAGGACUUUUACUUUGAGGAAAUUAGAGUGUUCACUGCAGGCAUACGCCUUGAAUAUAUUAGCAUGGAAUAAUAAGAUAGGACCUUAGUUCUAUUUUUUCGGUUUCUAGAGCUGAGGUAAUGAUUAACAGGGAUAGUUGGGGGCAUUCGUAUUUAACUGUCAGAGGUGAAAUUCUUGGAUUUGUUAAAG
RNAcentral lists this ribosomal RNA (342 nucleotides) under uncultured eukaryote. Its description in RNAcentral is "SSU rRNA". It matches the Rfam family "Eukaryotic small subunit ribosomal RNA", at positions 587 to 934 of the family's 1831-position model. The record is from RNAcentral.